RNAcentral lists this ribosomal RNA (424 nucleotides) under uncultured bacterium. RNAcentral describes it as "bacterial SSU rRNA". It matches the Rfam family "Bacterial small subunit ribosomal RNA", at positions 355 to 776 of the family's 1533-position model. The record is from RNAcentral.
UGAGGAAUAUUGGUCAAUGGGCGAGAGCCUGAACCAGCCAUCCCGCGUGCAGGAAGACGGCCCUAUGGGUUGUAAACUGCUUUUGCGCAUGAAGAAUGUUACCGACGUGUCGGUAAGUGACGGUAAUGCGUGAAUAAGCAUCGGCUAACUCCGUGCCAGCAGCCGCGGUAAUACGGAGGAUGCAAGCGUUAUCCGGAUUUAUUGGGUUUAAAGGGUGCGUAGGCGGCCUUGUAAGUCAGUGGUGAAAACCUGCAGCUCAACUGUAGGCGUGCCAAUGAAACUGUGAGGCUUGAGUGACGUUGAGGCAGGCGGAAUGUGUAGUGUAGCGGUGAAAUGCUUAGAUAUUACACAGAACACCGAUUGCGUAGGCAGCUUGCUAAAGGUUAACUGACGCUGAUGCACGAAAGCGUGGGGAUCGAACAGG